AAGUCGUAACAAGGUUCCCGUAGGUGAACCUGCGGAAGGAUCAUUA
Molecule: ribosomal RNA, 46 nt
Filed under: uncultured Glomus
Lineage: Eukaryota; Fungi; Glomeromycota; Glomeromycetes; Glomerales; Glomeraceae
Also listed under: 1 other name
Description: partial 18S ribosomal RNA
Rfam family: Eukaryotic small subunit ribosomal RNA
Source: RNAcentral